GAGUGCCGCAGGGUCAGUAGUGUGUGCCUCGCCUGUGCCCGCUUCACACCCGCUCUCCUCGUCCUUCGCACAGACUCACCAUGGCGCUCAGAUCUGUGUGUCACGCUCACGAACUCCUGUUAUGAGGUGGCCGCGGCUCAGGUGACGCGCGACAGCGGGCGAGAGGAGAGGAGAGAGGAGAGAGAGAGAAAGAGAGAGUGAAAGAAAGAGAGAGAAAGAGAGAGACCAUGACGGAGGAUGAAUGUCACGGAAACGAGAAGGAGGAUGUGGAGGAACUGUACACCGCCAUCUUCCACUACGUGUUCCCAGCGCUGGUGGUGACGGGCAUCCUCACCAACACCCUCAACCUCAUUGUCCUCACCAGGCCACUCAUGAGGGGACGGACCUACAGGUGGCUCCGUGCCCUGGCGUGCGUGGACCUGUCGCUGUGCGUGCUGACGGUGCCGGUUUGCCUGGCGCGGGGCGGCGUGGCACCGCUGCGGUCCGCGGAGGUGGCGCGCUACUACGCGCACUUCGGCUGGUCGUUGAGCAUCGCCUCGCAGAUCCUCAGCUUCUACCUGAUGGGGAUGUUCGCCCUGGAGAGAUUCCUGGCGGUGUGUCGCCACGACCUGUACCCGCGCAGCCAGACGGACGCCGUGUUCCGGGGCGGCGUGGUGAGCAGCGCGGUGUUCGUGUUGCUGCUGUACCUGCCCACCAUGGUCGUGGGGCGCGUGGAGGCGGCGGGUGAGGGGCGAUGGAUGCCGCGGGACGGCUACUCCAUGCAGGAGUACACGUGGUACCGCGCCUAUGCCUGGCUCAGGGAAAUAUUCUCCCGCCUGGUGCCCGCCAUCCUCAUCACUUUUUGCAACGUGCGCAUCACGCUGCGCCUCAAGCACCUUAGAAACAUCCGCGAGGGGUUCGGCAGCGGCGUGCCUGCCGCCAGACGGGAGCGGGAGCGACGCCUGGUGCUGCUGCUGUUCUGGGUGACCACGCUGUUCUACAUCUUCAACACGCCCGUCACUGUGUACUACCUGGGCUUCCUGCACACACAGCGCUUCUGCGGCAAGGACAUGUCAGCCAGCCUGCUCAUCUUCGCUGCUGUCUCCAACCUGCUGCAGAUGCUAGGCAACGUCUCCAACUUUGUGCUCUACUUCCUCAUCAGCCCAGAGUUCCACAAGACGCUGUGCAACCUGCUGGCCUGCCGGGACACGGGGCGCCCCGCCAGCCUCAAGUUGCACUCCGGCAACACCACCACCACCACCAUGCUGCCCUCCACCGCCGCCGUCAUCACCGCCAUCAUCACCACGGCCAACCAAGACCAGUCUCUCACACGGCCAGACUCAGCCUGCCGCCACCACCUGCCUGGCGGCGCCGCGCCCCUCAACGGCGCCAACAACUUCUCAGGGAUGGAAGCUCGCCAGCCGUCCCCAGGAAGCCCUGCGUGAGCCAGGAACACACCUCACAGCGCCAUGCCCCCUACUCCAGCCCCCCGCACCACGCCACACAGCGGGAGGCAAGAUGGAGUGACGGCUGUGAGGUGACGCCGCCGCAUGCUGUGGUGUGCUGUGUUUCUGUGUUGCUGUGUUGAGGUGCUUGGGCAUCACUACACAACAGGCUCACCCCACGCACUGACGCCCUCACUGUACACUGUUGUGGCAGUUUGAUAAGUACAAAGUAGCAAUGAAGCAAGUAACAACACGGUCUGCCAACACAGACGCAAUGAUUUCAUAAUUAUAUUUCAUAAAUGUGUAAUUGUCUACUCAGCUCUAUUUAUAAAUAUCAUGGUGUGUGUUCCCAGCUCUCAUGUGCAAGUAAUAUUUGUUAUGAAUGUAUUAUAAUUACAAAAAAAGUAAUGAAAACUAUAAUACUGUUUAUAUUUAGAGAGCGAGCCUCGCCUGAAGCAGCAGCAGCAGCAGCAGCAGGGGCGGCAGCAGCAGCGGCAGAUGACGUCAGUGACCAGCUCGCGCAUCGCCACAACACAACACGGAAAAACCUUCACUCAUCACUCACACCUCACACUUACAGAGCGCCACGAUGUAAGUAAAGGCACCAAAUAUUAACCCCACACUUGUAUGAUGCAAGAACAACCACUGGUGAGGAAAGACGAAUAUUCACCACACACUUUAUCACCACCACACAACACGCGUCUAGUCACCACUCACCGCAGUCACCCUUGAGUCAGUGAGGUAAAGAAACAGCACGUGGCGACUCCAAUCACUGUUUUCUCUGUCACUGGAGUCCUCAGCAUCGGCCACACGUGCGGAACUCAGCAACAAGGCGGCGUGGGGCGGGAAUACAGCUGCUGAGUGUUCGGGGCCUUGGGAGGAGAAAAGGCGCACUGGAGAGAACAUGGGCGGCCUCCUUCACGCCCAUCUGCUCCUUCCCACGCCCGUCCGCACGCUCCCACGCCCACCCUCCUAAACCCAUCCGCCCGACCGCCCGCUG
Molecule: unclassified non-coding RNA, 2424 nt
Filed under: Portunus trituberculatus (swimming crab)
Lineage: Eukaryota; Metazoa; Arthropoda; Malacostraca; Decapoda; Portunidae
Description: uncharacterized LOC123510732, transcript variant X2
Source: RNAcentral